This 72-nucleotide transfer RNA is filed under the name Halobacteriales archaeon QS_4_62_28. RNAcentral's name for it is "tRNA-Gly". It matches the Rfam family "tRNA". Rfam says of the family: Transfer RNA (tRNA) molecules are approximately 80 nucleotides in length. Their secondary structure includes four short double-helical elements and three loops (D, anti-codon, and T loops). The record is from RNAcentral. Lineage: Archaea; Methanobacteriati; Methanobacteriota; Halobacteria; Halobacteriales.
GGAAGGGUGGCUCAGUGGUAGAGCGCUGUCAGCCGCACAGGGCUUCGCGUGGUUCGAAUCCCGCCCCUUCCA